UCGGGAAUUUUGGGCAAUGGGCGAAAGCCUGACCCAGCAACGCCGCGUGAAGGAUGAAAUCCCUCGGGAUGUAAACUUCGCAAGAACGGGAAGAAUAAGUGAGAGUUAAUAUCUCUUACGAUGACGGUACUGUUUGUAAGCUCCGGCUAACUCCGUGCCAGCAGCCGCGGUAAUACGGGGGGAGCAAGCGUUGUUCGGAUUUACUGGGCGUAAAGGGCGCGUAGGCGGCCACCGCAAGUCGACUGUGAAAUCUCCGGGCUUAACCCGGAAAGGUCAGCCGAUACUGCGGGGCUAGAGUGCAGAAGGGGCAACUGGAAUUCUCGGUGUAGCGGUGAAAUGCGUAGAUAUCGAGAGGAACACCUGCGGCGAAGGCGGGUUGCUGGGCUGACACUGACGCUGAGGCGCGAAAGCUAGGGGAGCGAACGGGAUUAGAUACCCCGGUAGUCCUAGCCUUAAACGAUGAAUGCUUGGUGUCUGGGGUUUUAUAGUCCCCGGGUGCCGUCGCU
This 506-nucleotide ribosomal RNA is filed under the name uncultured Acidobacteriota bacterium. RNAcentral's name for it is "bacterial SSU rRNA". It matches the Rfam family "Bacterial small subunit ribosomal RNA", at positions 355 to 853 of the family's 1533-position model. The record is from RNAcentral. Lineage: Bacteria; Pseudomonadati; Acidobacteriota.